GCCCGGUGCGCAGAAACGGGCAAGACCGGGCCCAAAAUCCGUUGCCCCUAACAGGGCGUGCCGGUUCAAGUCCGGCCCUGGGCA
RNAcentral lists this transfer RNA (84 nucleotides) under Gammaproteobacteria bacterium. Its description in RNAcentral is "tRNA-Leu". The record is from RNAcentral. Lineage: Bacteria; Pseudomonadati; Pseudomonadota; Gammaproteobacteria.